CGAGUUUUAGACGGACUUCUUGUGGGAUGACACUCUUAUAACAAUAGUAUACAUUAUCAGAUCACAGUCUUUACGUAGAAAUCAGUAUCUGUCAUAACAAUAUUGUAUGUAAGACAUUAGAUGACACUCCUAUAACAAUACUAUACAUUAUCAAAGUCUUUACGUAGAAAUCAGUAUCUGUCAUAACUAUAUUGUAUGUAAGACAUUAGAUGACACUCCUAUAACAAUACUAUACAUUAUAAGAUCAAAGUCUUUACGUAGAAAUCAGUAUCUGUAAUAACUAUAUUGCAUGUAAGACAUUAGAUGACACUCCUAUAACAAUACUAUACAUUAUCAGAUCAAAGUCUUUACGUAGAAAUCAGUAUCUGUCAUAACUAUAUUGUAUGUAAGACAUU
This 395-nucleotide long non-coding RNA is filed under the name Mytilus galloprovincialis (Mediterranean mussel). The record is from RNAcentral. Lineage: Eukaryota; Metazoa; Mollusca; Bivalvia; Mytilida; Mytilidae.